This 391-nucleotide ribosomal RNA is filed under the name Nidirana daunchina (Emei music frog). RNAcentral describes it as "partial 12S ribosomal RNA". The record is from RNAcentral. Lineage: Eukaryota; Metazoa; Chordata; Amphibia; Anura; Ranidae.
UAGCCUUAUUAUCACUGUUUCCAAACUUACACAUGCAAGUCUCAGCACGCCCGUGAGAACGCCCUUUUAUCCUUCACCAGGCAAAGGAGCCGGCAUCAGGCACAGACUCUAGCCCACAACACCUAGUCUCACCACACCCCCAAGGGUAGUCAGCAGUGAUAAAUUUUGCGUAUGAGCGCCAGCUCGACUCAGUUAAGGAAAAGAGGGCCGGCUAACCCGGUGCCAGCCGCCGCGGCUACCCCGUAGGGCUCAAGUUGAUAAUCGUCGGCGUUAAGCGUGAUUAAAGUUUCUACAAAUUAGGGUUAAAUUAAUACUUAGUAGUUUUAAGCUUGUUAUUAAGAAGAACACACACGAAAGUUACCCUAAUUAUACUUGAACCCACGACAACUGG